This 253-nucleotide ribosomal RNA is filed under the name uncultured bacterium. Its description in RNAcentral is "partial 16S ribosomal RNA". It matches the Rfam family "Bacterial small subunit ribosomal RNA", at positions 524 to 776 of the family's 1533-position model. The record is from RNAcentral.
UACGUAGGGUGCGAGCGUUGUCCGGAAUUACUGGGCGUAAAGAGCUCGUAGGCGGUCUGUUGCGUCGGCUGUGAAAACCCGGGGCUCAACUCCGGGCCUGCAGCCGAUACGGGCAGACUAGAGUUCGGCAGGGGAGACUGGAAUUCCUGGUGUAGCGGUGAAAUGCGCAGAUAUCAGGAGGAACACCGGUGGCGAAGGCGGGUCACUGGCCCGAUACUGACGCUGAGGCACGAAAGCGUGGGGAGCAAACAGG